AUGGCUCCGUGUACGGAGGAAUGUCUGGAGACAGAAAGUAAAUGUGGGCUGGGCGUGUUUAAUUACAUCAGAUUGAAUUCCAAUAAUCUGCUCCAUAUCCUUGAGGUUUUUUUUUUUUUUUUUCCUGACAGCGUUCGGAGUCAUGUCUCGACACGUUUUAAUUUGAUUAGGGCGGGACAAUGUGGGGUUUCUCCCGAAACCACGACUGUAAGCAGGUGCAGUCAAAAGAGGAGCCCUGCGGAGGAUGACGACACAAUCGUGGAGCCGGAUUCGGGCGACUAUCAUGGAGUGAGUAGAUUGGUGCCUCAGGAGUGCGCCUGUGUGUUCCCGUCCCUGUAUGUUUCUGGUCGAUGCGUCUGUCACUGAGCAGCGCCUGCAGAGACGACUGAGCAAGCUCGCAGCUCCACAGCCUGCAGUAAACCCUGAGGGUAACAGAUCCUCCUCCUCUGCUCACAGCCGGGAUAAAUCCCCGAAAAUACCAAUACUGCAUCACGCCGCACAAAAUAUUAUUAUUCGCUUUGAUGGAUAACAUUUACCUGCUAAUUCAAAUUUCAUACUGUGAGUCUUUGUUUACAAUAUAAAUCUAAUUAAGUGCGGCCAUCACAGCACACGGCGGAUCGAUACACAAUAUGGCCAGCACAGCUGCUUACCUCACAAGGAUGCCUUCCCCUGCCAAUAUUUUUCAGCCCAUAAAACGGUGCUGGUUUUCUCAGUGCAGCCAAUAAUCUGUCAAGGUUAGGGCAACGAGAGACAAAACAUUACCUCAGUGGGUGACACGCCGGCUACAUAAAAACGAAUGACUAAACCAGAGUCAUGUGGUUUUAAGACAGGGUUGAUCCAUCAUUUCUUCGCCGUUAAUGGCAGCUAAUGGAGGUUUCACCUGUGGUGUUUUCAUUUUCUUUUUAUCACUUGAAUUUAAUAGUUACAUUUUAGUAACAAUGAACCAAAUAAUUAUGCACAAUGUGAAAUGUGGAUUGCUGGUGGUUGCAGUCCAACAGAUCAUCACCCAUCUCUGCAGUCCUCCUUGUCUUUAUGGAGCGUUUUAGCCUCUUUCAGGCUUAAAUUUGGCUUUUAACUCUACUAUUUUGGUUCACUCUCAACAGUGUUGUAUCCGGCCACAGCAGGCAGCUCUGAUAAAUCCACUUUACGCUACCUGCCCAGCACAGAUAAUUAGGGGUGGGCGGAUCGAACCAAAAAUAUCGAUACUACCGAUGUACUCCUUUGGUAGAUCAAGGGAUCAGUUUUUGUGCUUAUUUGUUUAUAUUUCAUCAACAAGCAGAGCUGUCUAAAAAUGUUCCUCUGCGUAGGAAAGCUGUUCACUACUGAGGCAACACCACUAAUGUAUCAAACACAUAAAAUAACAUGACAGAGAGAACAUGGAGCUGCAGCAAGGAAGAAAGGAGGAGGAGGGAAAUGCCUCAUCAGCACCAGAUAGAGGGAAUAUCUAGGUAUGUACAGUAAAAGAAAUGUUUUAUUCAAACUGAUUGAAUAAAGCAUACUAUAUUCAGAUAUCUGAAUAAUAAAUUGAGCCCAUUGGAAAUUGUUAUCUUGAUUAACUAUUUUAAUGAAACUGAAUAAAAAUAUAUAAAAAUGGCUAAUGUAUAAACAUUUUUAAAUAUAAUACAUACUAUAAUAAUAAUAAUGAUAAUACAAAAAUUAUAAUAAUGAUAAUAAUAAUAAUGAUAACAAUAAUAAUUAUUAUUAUUAUCAUCAUUUUUAUUAUUAUUAUUAUUGUUAUUAUUAUUAUUAUUAUUAUUAUUAUUAUUAUUAUUAUUAUUAUUAUUAUUAUUAUUAUUAUAUGCAAUAACCUUUUUGUAUGUACACACUUUCACUUUAAUUUAAUAAAAUACAUACUUUUGUUAUUUGUCUUUAAA
Long non-coding RNA from Sparus aurata (gilthead seabream), 1874 nucleotides. Lineage: Eukaryota; Metazoa; Chordata; Actinopteri; Spariformes; Sparidae. The record is from Ensembl.